Long non-coding RNA from Daphnia carinata, 2245 nucleotides. RefSeq lists it as uncharacterized. Lineage: Eukaryota; Metazoa; Arthropoda; Branchiopoda; Diplostraca; Daphniidae. The transcript has 7 exons. The record is from RefSeq and is a predicted model, not a curated record.
AGCCGAGACAUCGCGUUUGUAACGAGACAACUAUUUGUUCAACUUGAAAAGCGUUCGCUCUAUUCUUGUUCCUGUUGAACAGUCAAGCCUUUACAACGUGAUGGUGGAUUAAAAUAUUUGCACAUGAACAGUGCCUGUGCAUUCGGUGGAGAGCAGAUACGGAUAACUCUGGCGCGAACAAUGGGGCAGCCCAGAUAGUCCUAUGAGGUACAUGCGUGGGUAAUGACAAAGUACAAUAGAUUUUUUUUUUCCUCUACUAGCCAGCUUCCGAUUUAGAUAUGGAUGCUUUUUAGAUUGCAUUAACAUUCUAAUAUUAAAAGGUUAGUGAUUCCCCGGGUAGCUGGAUGAAGUUAAUCGGGUCUGAUUCUUAAUUUGUGGUGUACCGAAAUACUUGGAAUAUAACGUUGAGAGAUAGAUCGCACCGUCGCUUACCUGAAACGAGUUGUCGCAAUGGUGGACAUUUUGGAACGUUUUCACGGAUUUGUUUUAGUUUUAUUGCAGCGACUAAGUACGCCUAAAUGAAAAUGCAAUUCAGAAAGAAAUUUUUAAACCUUGUGACAGGUGUUUACGCACGCAACGCUCCGGUUAAACUGAACGAUUCUGAAAAACGUAAAUCCACCACAGAGGUGAGAAGAGCUCGUACCUUCAUCCGACAGCUAUGAUUUUCCAGAAGAAGACGAUCGGAUUAGAAGGUGUACGAAUGAAAGGUGCCAGCCCAAAUGACAAUGAAAAAUAAAAUACAUUUACGGAUUCACCAAUCGAUAUCACACGAUUGCAACAUGGAAAAAACACCUUUCUAAAGUUAGGUUUUGAUAGGUUCGAUGAAAAUAAAGUUGCGUCAUGGAUCGAUAGUGAAACUGCGAUUCCGAUUCGGAUUAGAAGAAACCGUUGAAUCAUAUGUCUACUGUGUCAUUGGAGUCGCAGCAAGUGCGAUAUUUCGUCCGCGUUCGUUGGAGCAGCUUCUUCAACAGCAAUUGGGACAUCGGAAAUAGUUGAAGCUUCGAGUAUAACCCUUACAUCCGCUACGCAAGUAAUUAGAAAUUUGCAGACGCGGCAACAAAGGAUUCUUCUUGCAACAAGAAAGGCUUAGUGAAGAAACCAUUUUUUCUGCAGAUAAGGCGCCGUGUUCCCUGAUGAUUUUCGAUCUUCCUCGUAUUUCCUUGGCAAUUGCUUUAUUGGUGAAUGUUUGAGUCCAAGUUUUGCAAGUGCUAGGUGGAUCGUGUGCAGCUGGAUAAGCGUACCAAAUCCUCGAGUGGCAAGCGGUUUGAUGCUGGUCGUGAUGAAUUAUCUUUUGUGUUGUUCCAUUGUGGCGCUGGCUGGCGAUUGAUUGCGAGAACGGACUUGUAUGGAGGCGUAAGACAAAAGCUUUUUGGAUAACCUUAAACUUUGAAUGAAACGGUGGGCGGUUUGUUAGCCGUAUCUUGGAUUUUUUUUUUUUUUGUGAAAUUUUAUGGUUAACAUUUCUUACCUUGCGAUGUUCUUGUAAACAUGUUGCGAGGGCAAUGGCUGUACCCUCAGAAGGACGCAUCCGGGUAAUUUUCAUCAGGACAAUAACAAAAAAUUUAGGCUAUGAUGGGGUAAAUAAGGUGAAUGGUAAGUAAACAUCUAUUAAACAAAAUGAUGAAACAUUUCGUUUGGCAUGCUUUUGAGUAAUUAUUUGCAUGAUCGAAUAUGACUUUAAAAAGAUGCUCUAAGCUUGAAGUAAAAUCAUUGAAAUUGCCCAACUUUUUUUGCUGACAAUCAAAUCCUAGAAAUAUUACCUUGCAGAGCUGAACCAACAACAUAAGGCCCACUAGAAGGUGGAGUUCCUAGGAGGUUAUUCAGAUACUUGCAAAUAUUUUCAUUUGUUGCCACGAUGUAAAUCUGAAUAGAAGAAAAGUAAGGUAAAAUACAUGAAGGGUAGCUUUAUGGUAAAGCUAUGAUAUAGAUCUUUGAAAGUUUAUGGUAUGUUGUGAAUGGCGCUGCAGAUUCAUCAGCCUCUAGCGUUUGAAAUGGAACUAUUGUUAUUUUUUGUUGUCAUGUGGUUCUCAUUGUUUUCUUUGUUUUUACAUACGUUUUACAACGUGUAUUUGAGUUUCCCUCGUCUGAACGGUAUCGUUAUUUUUGUUUUUUGUGUUGUUUUUACCCCCACCCCUAUUAUCGAUGUGCAAAUAUUGUACUGCUUCAUUACCUAAACGAAAUGUCACAUGUGAUUUGAAGUGGUAUACAGGUCUUACCUGGAAACUGAACUUUAAGAACUUUGAAA